GGCAGUUAGUGUUAUUGUCUCCUCCAGCACUUGGCCGUGACUGGGGGCUCCAGGGAGACAGGGAUCGGUUCUUUAGCCAUGCU
This is a small nucleolar RNA of Peromyscus leucopus (white-footed mouse), 83 nucleotides long. RefSeq annotates it as Z6 small nucleolar RNA. The record is from RefSeq and is a predicted model, not a curated record. NCBI's taxonomy places the organism in Eukaryota, Metazoa, Chordata, Mammalia, Rodentia, Cricetidae. The transcript has a single exon.